Molecule: long non-coding RNA, 565 nt
Organism: Suricata suricatta (meerkat)
Lineage: Eukaryota; Metazoa; Chordata; Mammalia; Carnivora; Herpestidae
Exons: 2
Source: RefSeq, a predicted model, not a curated record
CCUGCCCCGCUUAGCCAUCUGCCAGACCCUGGUGUUUCCCCUAAGCGAGCCCUGGGCUUCCUUGCUGUUCUAGGAAAGUCAACUUGUGGCAGAACUUCAGGAAAGAAGGAUACCAGCAGAAUGUGAUUACAAAGAGUCUCCACUUCCAUCUCCGGGAAAGAAGAUACAUAUUUAAGAGAGAAAAGGCACCAGCCUGAAGUAACUUAGCUGUUACCAUAGAGAACAAGAAAAUAAAAAUUUUCACAUUAUGUGAAAGGAAAGUCAAGCAUGAUAAUUAUUCAGAAUAAGCCACUCAAAAGGCUCUUCAGUAGAAUAAAGAAGAAUGGUUAUCCCAAAGGAAGCUACUGUUUUGACAUUCAACUGGGAAGACAUCCAAAAUUUAGACUGGGCGUAAAGCCCUAGCUUUUCUUUUGGAAGACUUCGUAGUGAUAAUUCAGAGAAGCUGGUGUAUUGUCAAAUGAUAAUAAAAUCAAACAAAUAAAACCUAAUGGAUGCAUGCAUACAGGAGACUGACACUGAAAUAAUUUCUAUCUUUUUAAUAAAUGACUUGAUACAUUUUCUUUUU